Transfer RNA from Operophtera brumata (winter moth), 73 nucleotides. It matches the Rfam family "tRNA". Rfam says of the family: Transfer RNA (tRNA) molecules are approximately 80 nucleotides in length. NCBI's taxonomy places the organism in Eukaryota, Metazoa, Arthropoda, Insecta, Lepidoptera, Geometridae. The record is from Rfam.
CGUUCUAUCGCCGAAGUGGUGAAAGCAUCGCCGAUUACAGACGAAGAUGCGGGUUCGAGUCCCGCUUGAACGG